Molecule: ribosomal RNA, 253 nt
Filed under: uncultured bacterium
Lineage: Bacteria
Description: partial 16S ribosomal RNA
Rfam family: Bacterial small subunit ribosomal RNA
Source: RNAcentral
UACAGAGGUCUCAAGCGUUGUUCGGAUUCAUUGGGCGUAAAGGGUGUGUAGGUGGCGCCGUAAGUCGGGUGUGAAAUUUCGGAGCUUAACUCCGAAACUGCAUUCGAUACUGCGGUGCUUGAGGACUGGAGAGGAGACUGGAAUUCAUGGUGUAGCAGUGAAAUGCGUAGAGAUCAUGAGGAAGACCAGUGACGAAGGCGGGUCUCUGGACAGUUCCUGACACUGAGACACGAAGGCCAGGGGAGCAAACGGG